GAUGAACGCUGGCGGCGUGCUUAACACAUGCAAGUCGAACGGAAAGGCUCCUGCUUGUAGGGGUACUCGAGUGGCGAACGGGUGAGUAACACGUGGGUGAUCUGCCCUGCACUUCGGGAUAAGCCUGGGAAACUGGGUCUAAUACCGGAUAGGACGAUGGUUUGGAUGCCAUUGUGGAAAGUUUUUCGGUGUGGGAUGAGCUCGCGGCCUAUCAGCUUGUUGGUGGGGUAAUGGCCUACCAAGGCGUCGACGGGUAGCCGGCCUGAGAGGGUGUACGGCCACAUUGGGACUGAGAUACGGCCCAGACUCCUACGGGAGGCAGCAGUGGGGAAUAUUGCACAAUGGGCGCAAGCCUGAUGCAGCGACGCCGCGUGGGGGAUGACGGCCUUCGGGUUGUAAACUCCUUUCGCUAGGGACGAAGCGCAAGUGACGGUACCUGGAGAAGAAGCACCGGCUAACUACGUG
This 465-nucleotide ribosomal RNA is filed under the name uncultured bacterium. RNAcentral's name for it is "partial 16S ribosomal RNA". It matches the Rfam family "Bacterial small subunit ribosomal RNA", at positions 28 to 507 of the family's 1533-position model. The record is from RNAcentral.